Molecule: ribosomal RNA, 202 nt
Filed under: uncultured bacterium
Lineage: Bacteria
Description: partial 16S ribosomal RNA
Rfam family: Bacterial small subunit ribosomal RNA
Source: RNAcentral
UACGAAGGGGGCUAGCGUUGCUCGGAAUCACUGGGCGUAAAGCGCACGUAGGCGGAUUGUUAAGUCAGGGGUGAAAUCCUGGAGCUCAACUCCAGAACUGCCUUUGAUACUGGCGAUCUUGAGUCCGGGAGAGGUGAGUGGAACUGCGAGUGUAGAGGUGAAAUUCGUAGAUAUUCGCAAGAACACCAGUGGCGAAGGCGGC